AGCGGCGGACGGGUGAGUAACGCGUGGGUAACCUGCCUCAUACAGGGGGAUAACAGUUGGAAACGGCUGCUAAUACCGCAUAAGCGCACAGUACCGCAUGGUACCGUGUGAAAAACUCCGGUGGUAUGAGAUGGACCCGUGUCUGAUUAGCUAGUCGGUGGGGUAACGGCCUACCAAGGCGACGAUCAGUAGCCGACCUGAGAGGGUGACCGGCCACAUUGGGACUGAGACACGGCCCAA
Molecule: ribosomal RNA, 240 nt
Filed under: uncultured bacterium
Lineage: Bacteria
Description: partial 16S ribosomal RNA
Rfam family: Bacterial small subunit ribosomal RNA
Source: RNAcentral